This 483-nucleotide ribosomal RNA is filed under the name uncultured bacterium. RNAcentral describes it as "partial 16S ribosomal RNA". It matches the Rfam family "Bacterial small subunit ribosomal RNA", at positions 28 to 507 of the family's 1533-position model. The record is from RNAcentral.
GACGAACGCUGGCGGCGUGCUUAACACAUGCAAGUCGAACGCUGAAGCUCAGCUUUUGUUGGGUGGAUGAGUGGCGAACGGGUGAGUAACACGUGAGUAACCUGCCUCCUUCUUUGGGAUAACGCCCGGAAACGGGUGCUAAUACUGGAUAUUCACUGGUCUUCGCAUGGGGGCUGGUGGAAAGGGUGUUUCUGGUGGGGGAUGGGUUCGCGGCCUAUCAGCUUGUUGGGGGGGUGAUGGCCUACCAAGGCUUUGACGGGUAGCCGGCCUGAGAGGGUGACCGGUCACAGUGGGACUGAGAUACGGCCCAGACUCCUACGGGGGGCAGAAUUGGGGGAUAUUGCACAAUGGGCGCAAGCCUGAUGCAGCGACGCCGCGUGAGGGAUGGAGGCCUUCGGGUUGUGAACCUCUUUCGCUCAUGGUCAAGCCGCAACAAUGGUUGUGGUGAGGGUAGUGGGUAAAGAAGCGCCGGCUAACUACGUG